This 442-nucleotide ribosomal RNA is filed under the name uncultured soil bacterium. RNAcentral's name for it is "bacterial SSU rRNA". It matches the Rfam family "Bacterial small subunit ribosomal RNA", at positions 26 to 518 of the family's 1533-position model. The record is from RNAcentral.
AGAGCGAACGCUGGCGGCAGGCCUAACACAUGCAAGUCGAACGGACCCUUCGGGGUUAGUGGCGGACGGGUGAGUAACACGUGGGAACGUGCCUUUAGGUUCGGAAUAGCUCCUGGAAACGGGUGGUAAUGCCGAAUGUGCCCUUCGGGGGAAAGAUUUAUCGCCUUUAGAGCGGCCCGCGUCUGAUUAGCUUGUUGGUGAGGUAAUGGCUCACCAAGGCUACGAUCAGUAGCUGGUCUGAGAGGAUGACCAGCCACAUUGGGACUGAGACACGGCCCAAACUCCUACGGGAGGCAGCAGUGGGGAAUCUUGCGCAAUGGGCGAAAGCCUGACGCAGCCAUGCCGCGUGAAUGAUGAAGGUCUUAGGAUUGUAAAUUCUUUCACCGGGACGAUAAUGACGGUACCCGAGAAGAAGCCCGGCUAACUUCGUGCCAGCAGCCGC